RNAcentral lists this ribosomal RNA (251 nucleotides) under uncultured prokaryote. RNAcentral's name for it is "partial 16S rRNA". It matches the Rfam family "Bacterial small subunit ribosomal RNA", at positions 525 to 775 of the family's 1533-position model. The record is from RNAcentral.
ACAGAGGUCCCAAGCGUUGUUCGGAUUUACUGGGCGUAAAGGGAGCGUAGGUGGCAGGCUAAGUCUGAUGUGAAAGCUCUGAGCUCAACUCAGAAAUGGCAUUAGAUACUAGUUUGCUUGAGGAUUGGAGGGGAGAUUGGAAUUCUCGGUGUAGCAGUGAAAUGCGUAGAUAUCGAGAGGAACACCAGUGGCGAAGGCGAAUCUCUGGACAAUUCCUGACACUGAGGCUCGAAAGCUAGGGGAGCAAACGG